This is a long non-coding RNA of Lutra lutra (Eurasian river otter), 475 nucleotides long. RefSeq lists it as uncharacterized. The record is from RefSeq and is a predicted model, not a curated record. NCBI's taxonomy places the organism in Eukaryota, Metazoa, Chordata, Mammalia, Carnivora, Mustelidae. The transcript is spliced from 3 exons.
GAGAUCCCGGCGGCCCUGCGCUGCUCGUGCGUCCUCCACGCGCCCCGCGCACUUCUCGGCGCGCAGGCCACGCGCACGGCCUUAGGGCUCUGCGUCACGUGCAUCCCCCCAGGCGCACCGUCCGCCGCGCGGCGCCGACGCACUGGCCCACGCAAAUCCCGCGCGCAUCCUCGCGCGCCCAAAGCCUUGUGCCUGGCUGGGCUGCAGGGCCGACCCGCUGGUGGGGAGUCGGAGGAACUCUCUUCGAUUUCUUUCUUUUUUUCCAGUACAGGCUUAGCCUUUUUAUUUUUACCAAAAGGUCAUUUCUACCGAAACGUCUGGAAGUAAUUAAAAGGUAUUUCCCUAGGAGUGGAAGUCCUGGGCCGUAUGCAACUCUGUUUAACCUGUUGAUGAAUUGCCAGGCUGUUUUCCAAAGCAGUGCACCAUUUUCCCAAAACCGAGGUGAGCAAACGGGUACCAAAAGUCAUGAAGCAAG